UAUUAAAAGAUUCAUUCAUUUGUAUUGUUAAAAAGCUAAAAUGAGUGACAAAAUAACCAAAUAGUGACACAUGGUAUGUCACGUAUAUAUUAUGUUAAUGUACAAGGACCCAUUUUUAAUAGUAGAAAUUGAUAAAAUUUUUAAUA
This is a non-coding RNA of Gossypium raimondii (Peruvian cotton), 146 nucleotides long. NCBI's taxonomy places the organism in Eukaryota, Viridiplantae, Streptophyta, Magnoliopsida, Malvales, Malvaceae. The record is from Rfam.